UCCUACAAAGAUGUGACCUCACUGCUGGUGU
This 31-nucleotide non-coding RNA is filed under the name Rattus norvegicus (Norway rat). The record is from RNAcentral. Lineage: Eukaryota; Metazoa; Chordata; Mammalia; Rodentia; Muridae.